UGUCCAUCUUCCACUUUCACUAAAUAGCAUUCCAGUGGAGUUUGGGAUGGCAGAGGAAGGGAAGGAAUUGCCAAGAUUUUGAUGUACAGCUGUAGUCAGGGAAUUAGAUUGAGAGGAACACUGUAAAGGUUCCCAAAGAGUGACAAAUUGUAAAAACAGACAAGUCUUUGCUGUUUAAAACCAAAUGGUACACUCCAAGGCGUCAGUCUGCUCUUCUGGACAUCUCUUCCACAAAAGUGAAAGAGAUGGUUCAGGCAAAUGAGAAAAGCAUUAGUUUUAUGUUUGAGAUUAGCAGUGCUUGGGGAGUGCCCCAUGGUCUAGAGCCCAAACCCAUCAGGUGGUGCAAAUUUACCAGAGAAAGAUCUCUCUUCUUCAGCUCCAGUAAUAUAUACACACAUAUAUAUAUAUAUAACAAUACAAGGAAUCAAUGUUGUAUCAAUAAUAUUAAUGUUAGUUUGCCAGUCUGCCAUACUUUCCCUUCACCUAAAAUUUACUAGAUAGAGUGGGAGAGGAGAAGGUUUUUGAAACUAAAAAAUCCACCCUAAGACUUUAUGACCGACUAGCCUUUGGCUUUGAGGGAAGUAGUUGAUGUGAAAUCACACGGAGGGAGGAGUUACGUUAUGACAUCAAGAAAGAAAAGAAUGUGUUUACUCCUCCCGAUCACGACAUAUUCUAAAGAUUUAGGUUGGGCGAUAUUUCCCCUUAGCAUCUAGUAUUACAACGCAAGGGAAAGAAGAAAGACAGGACAAUGAUUGUAAAUCAUUCCACCCGAGUCUUCACUUUGGGGAGUUCUUGAAUGGUGGGAUUUUGUUUUGCUUUUAUGAAUCAAGCAAGGAUCCUUGUGGAAGCUUGUCGCGAAGCCGAGAGGAAAGGAUGAAUGAAUAGCCUAGAGGUGACUUAGCCUGUCUGUAUCUAGGAGGGCUUCACCCGAUUCAGCCCUAGGAACCUCCUCUCAUCCAGAAAUUCAGUCUGUUCAGCCCUUUAUCACGCUGUUGGCUGUUUUGAUUAACUUAUCCGUUCCCUAAAAAAGCCACCAGCCUCUCUGAAUUGGGGCUGGGAAGGAAGAUGGUCCCCGGUUCCCCCCUUCUCAGAAUUAGCUACGGCCCCACAGAGUUCUGGGGACUCCCACGUGGCUGGCCGACAGUUUAGUGUCUAAAACAAAGCGCUGUUGAAUUUGUGUUUCCCGGUGGGAAGGGGAAAGAGUUGAAAUGUAUUUUGUCAGAGGAGAACGGACCUUGGGAACGUCGCCGGAUGCUGCUUCCCUCGCUCCCCUUCCCCAGCCGAGCGCUAAGAGUUCUAAGCACAACAAGGGGCUUUUCUUUGGGACGUGGCCGUCCUUGCCGCCCAGAUUUUAGAAACAGUACUCGGGUCAUUCCGGGAGGCUCGGCUUCUGCCCAGCCGCCGCCGCCGCUGCGGGGGUCUGUAGAACCGGAGACAAAAAAGGGGAGGGGCCCUCGCUGACGAGCCUCUGGGCGCGCAAAGUUUGAUUCUCUCCGCCUUUGCGACCCCGUUCCUGCUCCGCGCCCGGCCCGGGCUGCGCAGAAUCCGUCCGCCUGGCCGGGGCAGCCACCGGGAAGCGGUCCCCGCCCUCGGCCGGAACGGAGGCGCGUCAGGGCCGCGCGCGCGGGGGGCUCUGGGAUCGUCCCUCGGCAUCGGUGUCCCGGCCUUUGGCGGGGGGGGGGGGUCUGUGCAGGCCCGUCGCCUACGUCGGGAAGGGCGGCCUCCCGCUGGCUAUCUGCUGCUUGCCCGGCUCGCCCCCGCCGGUCCCCCGCCCGGAGACGAGCGGACACUGCCACCUAGUGAGCGGCCUCUGCCAGAAGCCAGGAGCCGCCGGGCUGCGCGGGGCCGGCAGAGGGAGCCCCGCGGGCCGGAGCCGGCGCGGGCCGGAGCCGGCGCGCGGCCGCCGUGGCGCCCCGGGCUGCCCGCGGGGCUCCGUCCUGCGCUGGGGAGGAAGCGCCGCCAGAGCGGGCCGCUGCGGCUCCCAAAAUCCUGACGUGGAACGGCUCCGUCCCUUUUUUUGCUCCCCAACCACACACUGGGCGUGGGUCUGAGAGGAGAUUUCCCGCCCUCUCUUUGUGUCUCCCCGCGGAGCGUUACAGCCGAGAGCCCCAGUCCGCCCAGGCCGCAGGCGGGGCCCGCUCCGCCGCUUAGUGACCUCGGGCAGCCUUCUCCGUCCGACUGGCGCCCAGUCCUCGAACUACCUACCUCCCAGCGUUGUUGUGAGGCCCCGCUCUGUCAGCUGCCCGGGAGCCUGGGGUCGGCCUGCCAGCGCCCGAGGCGCUUCCCCGCCCGGGCGGGAGAUUCGCACCCAGGCCCCCCGGGGAGGCCCGCGCCGAGCUCCGGAGACUCGGACGCGGUCACUUGGCCGUUCUGUUCCUUCCCUUCCUCCCCUCCCCUCUGGAAUAGGCAAAGGGGUUGGCUUAUGUUGUAAGGGGCAGCGCAGCCCUUGGGGAGGGACAGUCAGAAGGGCCUGGUCACACACACACACACACACACACACACACACACACACACACCCUUUUGGUCAGGGAGUUCUCAGAUCCCUGCCCUUAACCGCAGCGUCGGUGCCAAUUGCGGGCCCAGAUGGACUCCUGAGCAACUUUGUAGUCAUUGAUAACGCGUGUCGGGGGGAGGGGGGAAGGGAUGCAAACCCCUGAGCAUAACCGAUGUUACCCCAAGCUGUAAGCGGAGCUCUCCUAGACUUUUCCUUUCCGUUUUUUGUACCUUUUUUGUUCCGAGUGACUUCUGGUUUUUUUCAUGGUGAUCCUAGGAUCUUAGGAAAUUUAAGGGAAAAAAUUAACAUAAUUUAUUAAAGAUGGUUAACAGAAAAAAAAAAAAAGUUUACCUUUGAAAGGUAAAAUGGAGAAAUAGACACUGUUUUUAAAUGCCAAUAAAAACCUCAUUUAUUUCAUAUAUGCAACUUGAUUUGCACAUUUAUGAAGAGGCUUUCUGCAUUUUUACUUAGGUUUUUUGGUUGCUGCUGCUGCUGCCCAUCACUUGUUCCUUUCUUGAACGUGGCCUCGUGCUUAGAAAUGUCAGAUUCUGUUUCCUAGGCUGUAUUUAUUGUUUAAAUCAUGUGCCUUUUCAUUUUUCUUUGGGGUUCUAUGUUGGGAGCCAGAUGCUAUUUGAAGGAGUAUAAUGGAACACCAGUUCUGCCACAUGACUCUACCUUGUUCUAAAUGUAGAUAUAUGUAGCGUGUGUUCUUCAAAACGCCCUUUGUGUCCCCACAAAUGAACAAAGAAGGGAAAAAAAUAAUAUGUGAGAAAAAUGGAUUGUCAUCAUUCUUUCCAAAUGUUCACUCUCUGUGGCUUCCCUUUGGUUAAAUAUCCUCAUCAAGAGAACCUUGAGUGAGAAAGUGGAGUUCAUAUCCAAUUCUCAAUCUCCUGGGGAAGGGACGCAGAAGGGGUAACUCACACAGCCCUCCAGGGGAUCAAAGCAUGAGCCUUAUAAAAUGGCUACUGUGAGUGGAUUGGCAUUAAAAGAUCAACCUCAGAUCUACUAAGAUUUUCAAAGUUUGGCUGUAAGAUAUUAGCUUGUUGGCUACAUAAUAGGAAAAAAGGAGAAUAAUUUCCGGGGUAAGGGGAUGUUAUUUUUAAAUAUUUGCAAGACCCAAGGAAAGAGUGAUUUUUUUUUUUUAAAUUAGAAGUGGAGAUGAAGUUUAGAAGAAUACUAAAGAGUUAAGGGUCUAGCUGAAAAUGUUUACAAUUACAUGAUCUUUAAACAAGACCAAUUUAAGUCAUUCUCCUGGGGACUAUUUCUAAAGGCCUGGCUGGUUUUCCUCAACAUUUUAUCCUCUCUCACAAUACUAGGUUGUGGCUAAACCUGGGAGAGAAACUUUGGCUUUCCCCAUAAAUGUAUAGGGGUUUGUUUUCAUGAAAAAUUCUCAAUUGUUAGACAAUUGCUUAUUUUUUUUUUUUUUAACGACAGGCUCUAUUGUGUAUGUUUCUAUCCUAAGCCUGGAUUAUUUUAUUUAUUAAUUAAAAGCAUAUUUAAGUUCAUUUACCAGCUUUCUUCAAGCCCCAUCCAUUCUUGUAUGGCUAUAAAGCAUCUCCAUUGGAAGAGACAAACAAAUGGAAAUAGAUUCUCAUGUAAUUUGAGAAGCUAGCAAUUUCUCACAGCUGAAGUAAACUGUCUUUGAUUAUUGUUGGCACCAAGGGAAAUGGAAAACCAGAUUUUUCAAUGGCUAAAAGGCCACAUUUUCUCUGUGGUUCAUUCCAAAAAGCUAUAUAGGACCAAGUGAUUCCUUAACACUAAAGGCUCUUCCAUAACAUUAAAUACAAUAACGAUAAAUACACUCCAUAUAUAUUAAUCUGGAAGUGUCUAAAUAAAAUGAAAUACUAUUCUUGACUGACUUAGUAGGGAUUAUCCAUCUAGAUUGCCCUAAGUCCUUGACUUUGCUAAUAUAAAUUCUAACUGAGGGGUUUCUAAUACUUUGUGACCUGAAACAGGUUGGUUCGCUUGAAAUAUUUAGCUUAUCAACCCUAAAUGAAACAAGAACUUAGGGAUGGGUCUCUCUUGUACACAGCUAGACUCUCAUCCAUAAGCUGUUUUCAAAACCAUUUUUGCAAAUUUUUCUUUAAUCUUUAAAGUGUCCUCUGCCUUGUAGAAAUUGUAUAUUGAAUGAAAAGCAUCUUUUCAGUCAAUGCUGAUUUAGCUUUCCCUGCUGAAUUUCAAAUAAAUGAGACUUUAUUAUAUUUCGGAUUUUCAAUAUAGAGAUGAUCUCUUUCUCCCUGCUUUCUAGGGUAUCCCACUGCCCCCUGCUGGAUGGGGGGAAUCCAUAAGUACCCAGUAUAAGAAGUCAUAUUAUCACCAUAAUUGGAUUCUAGGUUGUUUGUCAUCUCAUGGUCUUGGCACCAAACUUAAGGAAACUAAAGUUUUGUUUGUAGUUGCUCAGGUCCCAAGGAGACUGGAUUCUGGAAAUUGCCCUUAAAGGUGGUACAAUUAUAAUGUUGGAUGUUACCUCUCCAAAGCAUAGUUCCAAAUAGGUCAAGAACUGGACAAGGUUAUUAACAUUCUUUAAAAAAUAAAAUCAGUUGUUAUUGAGAUGCCAGUUCAUUUUUUCUCCCUGUUUUCUAGAUUUUCCUUAUCUGAUAAAUCUGCCUGCUAAUGCUCAUGAACGAACAUCUAGAUUUUAAAAGUUAUUUCUGUUUCAGGCUCCACCUCAUAUGAUUAUAAUUAAAUGAUAUAGAAACACCAGUUAAUCCCUUGAUAUAAAAACCUUGACAGCAUCUUCAACUGAAUGGACAUUUUCGUACUCUGUACUCCAUCCCAACCUUGAACUUGGGCAGUCAGCCCAACCCACUGGAUGGGGAUUUGUAGGCAAGUGAAGGUAUCGUCUCUAGAUACCAAAAGGGGAGCCACAUUUAAUUUUAAAAGGAUAUCAGAAAAUUAAUAUCUGGUAUUGCCAAUUUUACCUUUGUAAAUGGUGCUUUUAGUAGAAUGGGGGAGAGGAGAAAGAUAUCUAAGUCAAAAAUGUUAUGGGCAAAGGCUUGUAAUUGAGGCACAAUGAAGAACCCUUAGUCUAAAGGGGGUCUAGCUAGAUGAAAUUCUGUCAUCCAUCUCCAUGUACCUCAGAAUCAACUGAUAUCAGUCAUAGGUAGCAAACUACAAAACAGCUGGAAUCCAUGAAAUUUGGGGGUUUGUUUUUCUUUUUAACCAGUCUGCCCAGAUAUUAAAAGCAAUGGGUUUGUGAUGCCAAAGGAUGUAACAUCCCUUCCACUAUAGUUUGAAUUCAUAACCUUGAUACUUUUAAGCUUAGUUUAAAUAUGCAGACUGGUGUGUUCCACUAUACUCUUUAAGCAGCUCACAGCUCACCAAAUACUGGUUACAACUAUUUCCUAUUGUUCAGUUCCUGAGGUUUAAUAGUCCGGGAUUCUAAAAAUAAGGUGUAAAUGUCUGAAUGUACUUUACUGGCAUAGAAAGCAAUGCUUGUUUUUCACUGUUGUAGAGAAAACUAGGGAGAACUUUAUUUUUCAAUAAACUUUUUUCUUGUGUGA
This 5997-nucleotide long non-coding RNA is filed under the name Sarcophilus harrisii (Tasmanian devil). Its description in RNAcentral is "lncRNA (ENSSHAG00000029834.1)". Lineage: Eukaryota; Metazoa; Chordata; Mammalia; Dasyuromorphia; Dasyuridae. The record is from RNAcentral.